This 464-nucleotide ribosomal RNA is filed under the name uncultured bacterium. RNAcentral describes it as "partial 16S ribosomal RNA". It matches the Rfam family "Bacterial small subunit ribosomal RNA", at positions 28 to 507 of the family's 1533-position model. The record is from RNAcentral.
AUUGAACGCUGGCGGCAUGCUUUACACAUGCAAGUCGAACGGCAGCGCGGGCUUCGGCCUGGCGGCGAGUGGCGAACGGGUGAGUAAUGCAUCGGAACGUGCCCAGUAGUGGGGGAUAGCCCGGCGAAAGCCGGGUUAAUACCGCAUACGACCUGCGGGUGACAGCGGGGGACCGAAAGACCUCGCGCUAUUGGAGGGGCCGGUGUCGUAUUAGCGAGUUGGUGGGGUAAAGGCUUACCAAGGCGCCGAUCCGUAGCUGGUCUGAGAGGACGACCGGCCACCGUGGGACUGCGACACGGCCACGCCCCCUACGGGAGGAAGCGGUGGGGAAUAUUGAGCACUGGUCGGCAGGCUGACGCAGCGACGCGGCGUGAGGGACGAAGGGCUGCGGGUUGUAAAAGUCUUUGAGCAGGGACGAAGCGAAAGUGACGGUACCUGAAGAAGAAGCACCGGCCAACUACGUG